RNAcentral lists this ribosomal RNA (494 nucleotides) under uncultured bacterium. RNAcentral describes it as "bacterial SSU rRNA". It matches the Rfam family "Bacterial small subunit ribosomal RNA", at positions 30 to 521 of the family's 1533-position model. The record is from RNAcentral.
AUUGAACGCUGGCGGAAUGCUUUACACAUGCAAGUCGAACGGUAGAGGGGGCAACCCCUUGAGAGUGGCGAACGGGUGAGUAAUAUAUCGGAACGUGCCCAGUCGUGGGGAUAACGUAGCGAAAGUUACGCUAAUACCGCAUACGAUCUAAGGAUGAAAGCGGGGGAUCGCAAGACCUCGCGCGAUCGGAGCGGCCGAUAUCAGAUUAGGUAGUUGGUGAGGUAAAGGCUCACCAAGCCAACGAUCUGUAGCUGGUCUGAGAGGACGACCAGCCACACUGGAACUGAGACACGGUCCAGACUCCUACGGGAGGCAGCAGUGGGGAAUUUUGGACAAUGGACGCAAGUCUGAUCCAGCCAUUCCGCGUGCAGGAUGAAGGCCCUCGGGUUGUAAACUGCUUUUGUACGGAACGAAAAGGUUUGUCUUAAUACGAUGAGCUCAUGACGGUACCGUAAGAAUAAGCACCGGCUAACUACGUAGCCAGCAGCCGCGGU